RNAcentral lists this transfer RNA (56 nucleotides) under Salmo salar (Atlantic salmon). It matches the Rfam family "tRNA", at positions 10 to 63 of the family's 71-position model. From Rfam's summary of the family: Transfer RNA (tRNA) molecules are approximately 80 nucleotides in length. Lineage: Eukaryota; Metazoa; Chordata; Actinopteri; Salmoniformes; Salmonidae. The record is from Rfam by way of RNAcentral.
GCUCAGUUGGUAGAGCAUGGUGUUUGCAAUGCCAGGGUUGUAGGUUCGAUUCCCAC